CGCCCUGUCACAUGACACAAACGUCACUACGUUACGUUUUUUUCGGGGUUGCUCACUCAACAGGAAGUUCUUUUUCUCCCACACGUACGCACGCACGCACACAUGCCAUGCCGCUGGGCCGGCCAAUCAGGACAGGCCUGUUUGCAAUUCACUUCCACUCAACAGCAGGAUUGACACUUCUGAGCCUCAGUCGGAGGAAUAAAGCAAGAAAAUAUUUGAGUUGGCAGCCGGGAGGCCCACUUGCUGCACCGCUAACACACGUGGGACGGAAUAAAAGCGUACCUGCAUGUUUUCAGUGGCGUCCCCCAGCAGCCCUCCGAAGGUGAUGGCGUUGGUGACGGUGCCCAGGUAGAUGAACAAGAUGGUGGACAGCGACUGGAUGUGCAGCGCGUCGUAGAAAUCGCUGGCGAAGAACGGCACCUUGCGCUUCACGUCCAGCACCAGGCCACCGCAGAACCUGACAGACAAACAAGUAAAUACAUCAAUAAACUAAUUAGAACAUAAUCUAUAAAUACAUUAAAUCCUUGA
Molecule: long non-coding RNA, 528 nt
Organism: Syngnathus acus (greater pipefish)
Lineage: Eukaryota; Metazoa; Chordata; Actinopteri; Syngnathiformes; Syngnathidae
Exons: 2
Source: RefSeq, a predicted model, not a curated record